This 71-nucleotide transfer RNA is filed under the name Chitinophagaceae bacterium. RNAcentral's name for it is "tRNA-Cys". It matches the Rfam family "tRNA". From Rfam's summary of the family: Transfer RNA (tRNA) molecules are approximately 80 nucleotides in length. Their secondary structure includes four short double-helical elements and three loops (D, anti-codon, and T loops). Further hydrogen bonds mediate the characteristic L-shaped molecular structure. tRNAs have two regions of fundamental functional importance: the anti-codon, which is responsible for specific mRNA codon recognition, and the 3' end, to which the tRNAs corresponding amino acid is attached (by aminoacyl-tRNA synthetases). tRNAs cope with the degeneracy of the genetic code in two manners: having more than one tRNA (with a specific anti-codon) for a particular amino acid; and 'wobble' base-pairing, i.e. permitting non-standard base-pairing at the 3rd anti-codon position. The record is from RNAcentral. Lineage: Bacteria; Pseudomonadati; Bacteroidota; Chitinophagia; Chitinophagales; Chitinophagaceae.
AGCCCUGUGACCGAGAGGAGAGGUUAUGGUCUGCAAAACCAUUUACGCCGGUUCGAAUCCGGCCGGGGCAU